GAUGAACGCUGGCGGCGUGCCUAAUACAUGCAAGUCGAGCGAACGGACGAGAAGCUUGCUUCUCUGAUGUUAGCGGCGGACGGGUGAGUAACACGUGGAUAACCUACCUAUAAGACUGGGAUAACUUCGGGAAACCGGAGCUAAUACCGGAUAAUAUUUUGAACCGCAUGGUUCAAAAGUGAAAGACGGUCUUGCUGUCACUUAUAGCUGGAUCCGCGCUGCAUUAGCUAGUUGGUAAGGUAACGGCUUACCAAGGCAACGAUGCAUAGCCGACCUGAGAGGGUGAUCGGCCACACUGGAACUGAGACACGGUCCAGACUCCUACGGGAGGCAGCAGUAGGGAAUCUUCCGCAAUGGGCGAAAGCCUGACGGAGCAACGCCGCGUGAGUGAUGAAGGUCUUCGGAUCGUAAAACUCUGUUGUUAGGGAAGAACAUAUGUGUAAGUAACUGUGCACAUCUUGACGGUACCUAAUCAGAAAGCCACGGCUAACUACGUG
This 497-nucleotide ribosomal RNA is filed under the name uncultured bacterium. RNAcentral describes it as "partial 16S ribosomal RNA". It matches the Rfam family "Bacterial small subunit ribosomal RNA", at positions 28 to 507 of the family's 1533-position model. The record is from RNAcentral.